UACGAAGGGGGCUAGCGUUGUUCGGAAUUACUGGGCGUAAAGCGCACGUAGGCGGAUAGUUAAGUUAGGGGUGAAAUCCCGGGGCUCAACCCCGGAACUGCCUUUAAUACUGGGUAUCUCGAGUUCGAGAGAGGUGAGUGGAAUUCCGAGUGUAGAGGUGAAAUUCGUAGAUAUUCGGAGGAACACCAGUGGCGAAGGCGGCUCACUGGCUCGAUACUGACGCUGAGGUGCGAAAGCGUGGGGAGCAAACAGG
RNAcentral lists this ribosomal RNA (253 nucleotides) under uncultured bacterium. RNAcentral's name for it is "partial 16S ribosomal RNA". It matches the Rfam family "Bacterial small subunit ribosomal RNA", at positions 524 to 776 of the family's 1533-position model. The record is from RNAcentral.